UUUGGUUGAGAUUCCUUAUCUAUAUCUUUGUCACCAUGUAUUUAGCUCUGCUCCUCACAUUACUGGUUGUAUGUUUUGUGGAAGGGAAAGAGGAUUCAGUAGACCUGUACGGAGAUUUGGAUGGGAAGGUGGGGAUCAAGUUUCUUGUCACUGUGAAUGACACCUGGGACGAAAAUGGAUGCAUUGACCCAUUGCGACCCCUAUGUUAAUAUCCGGGGUCAAAUACAACCUAUCAGACGCCAUUUCUGUCGGGUCAUGUGACCGAGGUCCUCUCAGGUUCAACGUCCAGCAGCUGCAGGGACAGAAGACGUCCAUGCAGGUGGAUCUGACCUUCUAUUCCUCCGUUAUAGAGGAUGCCUCACCCCCUACAUGCUCCCUACAGUGGAACGGGACUUACCUGGUCCCAAAAUCAACGAACCCACGUGAGUCGCUUCUCCCCUGGCUGCUUCACCAUGGACUCACGCGAGGGGUAUCACAUGACCUACUACUGGUUCUACAUCUUGGAGUGGGCCUUCUAUUAAACUUCAUUUCGCAUAACA
Molecule: long non-coding RNA, 539 nt
Organism: Haliotis rubra (blacklip abalone)
Lineage: Eukaryota; Metazoa; Mollusca; Gastropoda; Lepetellida; Haliotidae
Exons: 3
Source: RefSeq, a predicted model, not a curated record